Molecule: long non-coding RNA, 1200 nt
Organism: Perognathus longimembris pacificus (Pacific pocket mouse)
Lineage: Eukaryota; Metazoa; Chordata; Mammalia; Rodentia; Heteromyidae
Exons: 3
Source: RefSeq, a predicted model, not a curated record
CUGCCCUCCCUGGCUUCAAAUCAGCAUCCUCACAUCACGGCCCUCCUAGUAGCUAGGAUUACAGAUAUGAGUCACCGGUGUCCCGCUUGACAUUGCUAUUUUUUCAACUCUUCUCUUUGGCAGUCUUGGCAUUUCAACUCAGGGUUUCGCCCUUGCUAGGCAGGUGGUGUAGGCUGAGCCCAGGCACAUGCCUGAAUCACAACUCACCUGUUUUUAGGCUUCUUGCUAUAGAUGAGGUAGUGGUGUGCUAGCUGCACCAAGACCCCUGAGAUGGGAUCUCACUAACUUUUCUACCUGGAUUGGCCUAUAACUGCAAUCCUUCUAAUUUCAUCUUCCUACUCAGCUGGGAUGACUGGUUCAUGUCACUGAGUCCAGCUAUUGGUUGAGAUGAGGUCUCACGUGUAUGAUUGGAUUCACCGGGAUUCUUGGUCCUCUGAUUCCAAGUAUCCAGGUUAUAAGCCUGAGCUACUCAUACCUGGCUUAUUUUUAUAACUCUUAAGCUAACUCUGAUUAGUUUUAUCCUAAAGGCAUUUUGCAGAUAUGGACAGAUUCUUUAUUUGUCAUAAUUCAGUGAUAGAAAUUCAAAUGAGAGCAAUAAACAUUGAAAGUGUAAUUAAAAUACCAUUUUUUGUUUUUAAGCAGAUGUGUACAAAUCAAUGCAGCAACUAAGUGUCUCCUUGUCUUUUCUUGGAGUGGCUAGGCUGAAGUUGUUUGUGUUUUAGACCUGUAAAUUAUAUACCAAGUUCACCCUGUGCAUUGUCUCUCCAGGCAUUUAUUUUGGAUUCAAUAACUAUUAAAAUCCUUCAUGUACCUCCUUCCUUCUUUGCACGGCAUGGACCUGACCUCCCUCGCAACUUUUGUACAGUUUGUACUCUGUGACAUCGUUUUGUUUUGUUCUCUAUUGUUUCUUCACUGCUUGGGCAUUUUCCUCACUCCUGAAAAAAUGGACCUUAAGGAAUGAAUCACCUUAGUGGGAAGGAAAGCAUUGAAAAUUGAUUGACAUGUUUUUAUAAUUGAGGAAAUAGGGAUGUUUUUUCGGAUACUGAAUAUUUGCUCCCAAGGACAAGUGAACUUGCUGAAACUUAAUACAUUUUAAUCAUCAGAAUAGAGUAGUCACAAUUAUUUUUCAUGUGUACAACUGUAAUUUGCUUUCUACUAUGACUUUAUUUUAGAAGGGAAAAUGUUCAUCCCAUAUAUUGU